AGAGUUUGAUCAUGGCUCAGAUUGAACGCUGGCGGAAUGCUUUACACAUGCAAGUCGAACGGCAGCACGGGUGCUUGCACCUGGUGGCGAGUGGCGAACGGGUGAGUAAUGCGUCGGAACGUACCGAGUAAUGGGGGAUAACGCAGCGAAAGCUGUGCUAAUACCGCAUACGCCCUGAGGGGGAAAGUGGGGGAUCGCAAGACCUCACGUUAUUCGAGCGGCCGACGUCUGAUUAGCUAGUUGGUGGGGUAAUGGCCUACCAAGGCGACGAUCAGUAGCGGGUCUGAGAGGAUGAUCCGCCACACUGGAACUGAGACACGGUCCAGACUCCUACGGGAGGCAGCAGUGGGGAAUUUUGGACAAUGGGGGCAACCCUGAUCCAGCCAUUCCGCGUGAGUGAAGAAGGCCUUCGGGUUGUAAAGCUCUUUCAGCUGGAACGAAACGGUACGCUCUAACAUAGCGUGCUAAUGACGGUACCAGCAGAAGAAGCACCGGCUAACUACGUGCCAGCAGCCGCGGUAAUACGUAGGGUGCGAGCGUUAAUCGGAAUUACUGGGCGUAAAGCGUGCGCAGGCGGAUUGUUAAGCAAGACGUGAAAUCCCCGGGCUUAACCUGGGAAUGGCGUUUUGAACUGGCAGUCUAGAGUGCGUCAGAGGGGGGUAGAAUUCCACGUGUAGCAGUGAAAUGCGUAGAGAUGUGGAGGAAUACCAAUGGCGAAGGCAGCCCCCUGGGAUAAUAUUGACGCUCAUGCACGAAAGCGUGGG
Molecule: ribosomal RNA, 764 nt
Filed under: uncultured Pseudomonadota bacterium
Lineage: Bacteria; Pseudomonadati; Pseudomonadota
Description: bacterial SSU rRNA
Rfam family: Bacterial small subunit ribosomal RNA
Source: RNAcentral